GCUCAGAACGAACGCUGGCGGCAGGCUUAACACAUGCAAGUCGAGCGCCCCGCAAGGGGAGCGGCAGACGGGUGAGUAACGCGUGGGAAUCUACCCUUUUCUACGGAAUAACGCAGGGAAACUUGUGCUAAUACCGUAUGAGCCCUUCGGGGGAAAGAUUUAUCGGGAAAGGAUGAGCCCGCGUUGGAUUAGCUAGUUGGUGGGGUAAAGGCCUACCAAGGCGACGAUCCAUAGCUGGUCUGAGAGGAUGAUCAGCCACAUUGGGACUGAGACACGGCCCAAACUCCUACGGGAGGCAGCAGUGGGGAAUAUUGGACAAUGGGCGCAAGCCUGAUCCAGCCAUGCCGCGUGAGUGAUGAAGGCCCUAGGGUUGUAAAGCUCUUUCACCGGUGAAGAUAAU
RNAcentral lists this ribosomal RNA (400 nucleotides) under Ensifer meliloti. RNAcentral's name for it is "Sinorhizobium meliloti bacterial SSU rRNA". It matches the Rfam family "Bacterial small subunit ribosomal RNA", at positions 22 to 452 of the family's 1533-position model. Lineage: Bacteria; Pseudomonadati; Pseudomonadota; Alphaproteobacteria; Hyphomicrobiales; Rhizobiaceae. The record is from RNAcentral.